RNAcentral lists this ribosomal RNA (398 nucleotides) under uncultured bacterium. RNAcentral describes it as "bacterial SSU rRNA". It matches the Rfam family "Bacterial small subunit ribosomal RNA", at positions 356 to 773 of the family's 1533-position model. The record is from RNAcentral.
UAGGAAUCUUCCACAAUGGGCGAAAGCCUGAUGGAGCGACGCCGCAUGAGGGAUGAAGGCCUUAGGGUUGUAAACCUCUAAAAGAGGGACGAUAAUGACGGUACCUCUUGAAUAGCACCGGCUAACUCCGUGCCAGCAGCCGCGGUAAUACGGAGGGUGCAAGCGUUAUCCGGAAUCACUGGGCGUAAAGGGCGCGUAGGCGGUCUGUUAAGUCCGAUGUUAAAUCCCGGGGCUCAACCCCGGAUAAGCGUUGGAUACUGGCAGGCUAGACGGUUGGAGAGGCGAGUGGAAUUACCAGUGUAGCGGUGGAAUGCGUAGAUACUGGUAGGAACACCCAUUGCGAAGGCAGAUCGCUGGACAACACGUGACGCUGAGGCGCGAAAGUGUGGGGAGCAAAC